CGCUGGCGGCGUGCCUAAUACAUGCAAGUCGAGCGGAAUGAUGAAGAAGCUUGCUUCUUCUGAUUUUAGCGGCGGACGGGUGAGUAACACGUGGGCAACCUACCUUGUAGAUUGGGAUAACUCCGGGAAACCGGGGCUAAUACCGAAUAAUCCAUUUUGCUUCAUGGCGAGAUGUUAAAAGGCGGCUUCGGCUGUCACUACGAGAUGGGCCCGCGGCGCAUUAGCUAGUUGGUGGGGUAAUGGCCUACCAAGGUAAUGAUGGGUAGCCGACCUGAGAGGGUGAUCGGCCACACUGGGACUGAGACACGGCCCAGACUCCUACGGGAGGCAGCAGUAGGGAAUCUUCCACAAUGGACGAAAGUCUGAUGGAGCAACGCCGCGUGAGUGAAGAAGGUUUUCGGAUCGUAAAACUCUGUUGCAAGGGAAGAACACGUACGAGAGUAACUGCUCGUACCUUGACGGUACCUUAUUAGAAAGCCACGGCUAACUACGUG
Molecule: ribosomal RNA, 494 nt
Filed under: uncultured bacterium
Lineage: Bacteria
Description: bacterial SSU rRNA
Rfam family: Bacterial small subunit ribosomal RNA
Source: RNAcentral